CGGGACGGGUGAGUAACGCGUGGGUAACCUGCCUCACACUGGGGGAGUAACAGUUAGAAAUAGCUGCUAAUACCGCAUAAGCGCACAGUUCCGCAUGGAACAGUGUGAAAAACUCCGGUGGUGUGAGAUGGACCCGCGUCUGAUUAGCCAGUUGGCGGGGUAACGGCCCACCAAAGCGACGAUCAGUAGCCGGCCUGAGAGGGUGAACGGCCACAUUGGGACUGAGACACGGCCCAA
Molecule: ribosomal RNA, 237 nt
Filed under: uncultured bacterium
Lineage: Bacteria
Description: partial 16S ribosomal RNA
Rfam family: Bacterial small subunit ribosomal RNA
Source: RNAcentral